ACCCAGUUCGGUCAAAACCUAACCAAAUGGUGAUGCACUACUUCGAUAGGGAUACACUGAAUGGCAUAUUCUUUCACAAUACAAUUUCGAGUUUGUGUUCACAAACAUAUAGUAUAAUCAGGGCCUGCCAAGGUGUGGCAUCAUGCCCAAAGCAUGAUCCUUGGUACAUAAAACCUAAAACUUCAAGAAUAAGGGAUAAUAUUCUCGAACCUCAACCUUGCAAGAAUCUACUCCCGUCUUGAUGGAAUAGAUCAUUGGUUAUGCACCUGUUCGUGCCCCUACCAAUGUUGUUGAGGAGUACCAUUCUAGUAGUCAAUAUGUGAGAUUGAUUUUGCUCCACCGAACAUCGUUGGCAGAGCAAAAUUUUGACAUGGAUGGCCUUAUUGGCCGAAUCCCCUUAGUAAAUUUACUUUGUGAACAUUUUUCCAUGUUCUUGGAUUCAAGUUUGGUGUAUGUUUUACUUAUGGAUAAUCUUAUUGAUAUUGUCCUCGACUAUGAGUUAAUUGAAUCAUGUUUCUUAAUACAUGUGACCGAUUCAAUUAAACACGUGAUUAGGUAGGAAUGUAGGAAAGUUAGUUGUCUGGAUGAAUGCGUACUACGCACACUAACUUUACACCUAAAUCACAUCUCUAACAACGACUUCAGGUCUAUCCAACCUGAUUAAGAGCAUUGGCACGCUCCUCGUUGUAUGAAUGAUACUGAAUUAUCAUUUAAAAGACCUUAAAUUCUUCCUGACGUUGAGUUUUUAAGGAUAUUCGAGAUGACAAUGAUCAUAAAUGAAACCACUGAAGAAAAUAGA
This 799-nucleotide long non-coding RNA is filed under the name Malus domestica (apple). RNAcentral's name for it is "long non-coding RNA (MDOM_LNC014856)". Lineage: Eukaryota; Viridiplantae; Streptophyta; Magnoliopsida; Rosales; Rosaceae. The record is from RNAcentral.